RNAcentral lists this unclassified non-coding RNA (200 nucleotides) under Tomentella sp. RNAcentral's name for it is "partial internal transcribed spacer 2". Lineage: Eukaryota; Fungi; Basidiomycota; Agaricomycetes; Thelephorales; Thelephoraceae. The record is from RNAcentral.
UUAAGUUCAGCGGGUAGUCCUACCUGAUUUGAGAUCGAACGUUCAAAGGCUGUCUUCACUAGGGAGAGACAUUUAUAAGCUCCAGCGAACCCCCAUCACUGGAGGUCAUUUGGAGACGACCACGAGCGUAGAUAGUUAUCACACCUGUGAUGCCACCAAACACUGGCAAGCUGAUUCGUUUAAGAGGAGCUGACCAUAAG